RNAcentral lists this ribosomal RNA (500 nucleotides) under uncultured bacterium. RNAcentral's name for it is "partial 16S ribosomal RNA". It matches the Rfam family "Bacterial small subunit ribosomal RNA", at positions 30 to 523 of the family's 1533-position model. The record is from RNAcentral.
AUUGAACGCUGGCGGAAUGCUUUACACAUGCAAGUCGAACGGCAGCACGGGGGCAACCCUGGUGGCGAGUGGCGAACGGGUGAGUAAUACAUCGGAACGUGCCCAGUCGUGGGGGAUAACGUAGCGAAAGUUACGCUAAUACCGCAUACGAUCUACGGAUGAAAGCGGGGGACCGUAAGGCCUCGCGCGAUUGGAGCGGCCGAUGUCAGAUUAGGUAGUUGGUGAGGUAAAGGCUCACCAAGCCGACGAUCUGUAGCUGGUCUGAGAGGACGGCCAGCCACACUGGAACUGAGGCACGGCACAGACUCCUACGGGAGGCAGCAGUGGGGAAUUUUGGACAAUGGGCGCAAGCCUGAUCCAGCCAUUCCGCGUGCAGGACGAAGGCCUUCGGGUUGUAAACUGCUUUUGUACGGAACGAAAAGGCUCUGGUUAAUACCUGGGGCUCAUGACGGUACCGUAAGAAUAAGCACCGGCUAACUACGUGCCAGCCGCCGCCGUAA